This is a long non-coding RNA of Antechinus flavipes (yellow-footed antechinus), 8286 nucleotides long. RefSeq lists it as uncharacterized. The record is from RefSeq and is a predicted model, not a curated record. NCBI's taxonomy places the organism in Eukaryota, Metazoa, Chordata, Mammalia, Dasyuromorphia, Dasyuridae. The transcript is spliced from 3 exons.
UCUAUUUUAAAUUUUUAUUUAAUAAUUACUUUAUAUUGACAGAAUCCAUGCCAGGGUAAUUUUUUUACAACAUUAUCCCUUGCACUCAUUUCUGUUCCAAUUUUUCCCCUCCCUCCCUCUACCCCCUCCCCUAGAUGGCAAGCAGUCCUAUAUAUGUUGGAUAUGUUGCAGUAUCCUAGAUACAAUAUAUGUUUGCAGAACCGAACAGUUCUCUUGUUGCACAGGGAGAAUUGGAUUCAGAAGGUGUAAAUAACCCGGGAAGAAAAACAAAAAUGUAGAUAGUUCACAUUCGUUUCCCAGUGUUCUUUCUUUGGGUGUAGCUGCUUUUGUCCGUCAUUUAUCAAUUGAAACUCAGGUCUCUUUGUCAAAGAAAUCCACUUCCAUCAAAAUAUGUCCUCAUACAAUAUCAUUGUUGAAGUGUAUAAUGAUCUCCUAGUUCUGCUCAUUUCACUUAGCAUCAGUUCAUGUAAGUCUCGCCAGUCCUCUCUGUAUUCAUCCUGCUGGUCAUUUCUUACAGAACAAUAAUAUUCCAUAACAUUCAUAUACCACAAUUUACCCAGCCAUUCUCCAAUUGAUGGGCAUCCAUUCAUUUUCCAGUUUCUAGCCACUACAAAUAGGGCUGCUACAAACAUUUUGGCACAUACAGGUCCUUUCCCUUCUUUAGUAUUUCUUUGGGAUAUAAGCCCAAUAGAAACACUGCUGAGUCAAAGGGUAUGCACAAUUUGAUAACUUUUUGGGCAUAAUUCCAGAUUGCUCUCCAGAAUGGUUGGAUUCGUUCACAACUCCACCAACAAUGCAUUAGUGUCCCAGUUUUCCCGCAUCUCCUCCAACAUUCAUCAUUAUUUUUUCCUGUCAUCUUAGCCAAUCUGACAGGUGUGUACUGGUAUCUCAGAGUUGUCUUAAUUUAAUGCAAAUUAAACUUAAAACUAUUUUGUGCAUUUUUAUUUUGUUGUUUCUGACACGAAUUCCACUUGGAGUUUUUCUUGACAGAAAUAAUAAAGUUGUUUGCCAUUUCUUUCUCUAGCUCAUUUGGUAAGUGUUUGAGGCUAGAUUUGAAAUCAGGAAGAAUAGUCUUUCUGAUUUUAGGCCCAGCACUCCAUCCACUGUGCCACCCAGCUGUCUUUUUGUGUAUCCUUUUAUUUAUUUAUCUAUUCAUUCAUUCAUUCAUUCACUGAUUUAUUUAACUAUCUAUCUUUAUUCAUUCAUUCAUUCAUUUAUUCAUCCAUCCAUCCAUCCACUCAUUCUUCCCUCCAUCCAUCCAUUUAUUUAUUUAUUUUUGGAAAGUCAAUUAUUAAAUGUUUACCAAUACACACACUCCUUGAAUCUUCUUGAGUCUCCCUCCUUGAAUCUCUCUUGUUAAAUUAUUUGAUGUUUCAUAUACAUUCAAUCAUGUUCUAAAUCUCUAAUUGAAAACUUUUAAUUUCCUAAUUUAAUUUUCUAUUUUUGAUUAAAGGUAUUUGUAUGUGUUUCAUCCCCUUGACUAGAUUUUAAAUUCUUUGAGGACAGGGACUGGGUUGUUUUUUCACCUGUGUUUUAUUGGCCUCUAAGUCAUGAAAAUAUGGUAUAGAGGAAAGAGCACUGAUUUUAGAAUAUGAAGACCUGGAUUCAGAUCUAGUUUCUUUUGCUUAACACCCAUGUGAUUCUGGGGUCAAAAUCAUUUACCUUUUCUAUACCUCAAUUUCCUCACCUAUAAAAUAAGGAUCUUAGAUUCAAUGGCCUCUGAGAUCUCUUUCAGCUCCAGAUCUAUGAUUCUGUGACCAUAAUAGAUGCUUAAUAUUGAUAGAAAUAAGUUGAGCUGUGAUUUUGAUGGGGAAGGUGAUAAAAGACAAAAAAGUCAGUAACUUGCAGGUCCAAAGGCCUCAUAUACUUGUGUGUACACAUACGUUCACAGGUGACAGUCCUUCUCUAUUCCAAUUACUGAUCUUCCUGGCUAUUUUUGUCACAGUUAAAAAUCCCAAGUCCUAUAGGAAGAGUUCCCCAGCCCCUCUUAAUUCCAUUGUCUUCCUUCUGUUAAUUAUUUCCUAUUUGUCCUGUAUGAUUUAUUGGUUUGUCAUUUUUAGUCACGUUAAACUCUUUGGGGUUUUCUUGGCAAACAUAUUGAAGUGGUUUGCCAUAUUAUUUUUACAAAUGAGGCAAACAGGGUUAAGUGGCUUGUGUAUGGUCACCUAACUAUUGAAUGUCUGAGGUUAGAUUUGAGCUUAGAAAGAUAAAUCUAUCUGACUUCAGGCCCAGCUUUUCACCCACCAUAUCACCUCCAUGUAUAGUUUUAUUGAUAUAUAUUUGUUAGCAUGUUGCUGUUUCCCAUUAAAAUAUAAGUUCCUUGGAGUGGAGGAAUAUAUUUGCCUUUUUUUUUUUUUUUGUAUUCCUAGUGCUUGGCAUAGUGUCAAGCUCUUAAUAGGCACUUAAUAAAUAUUGAAUUGAAAUGUAAAUAUUUACAUGUAGAUCUGUCUGUGCCUUUUUACAUAAUAUAGAUUUCUGUCCCAUCAUCAUAUAUAUAGACUAUUACCAUACAUAUAUUUAUGUAUUUCAAUAUUCAGUCCUAAUUGGGGACUAUAUAUAUCUUAAUAUCAUAGCCCUAUUCAGUAUCUGUUUCUGGUGGGAAAAAUAAAAUAGAUUGAAAAAUCCUUAUUGUCUCUGGAGCAGAUGAAUCUGCUUUGCUGGACCUUGCUUUCUAUAUGUAUAAAUGGUAUAUUGCAUUGGUGAUUUCUGGUAACCCCUUUCCAGCUCUGACAUAUUGAACUCAAAAGCUGCAAUUCUCUCCAUCUUUCUCAAUCUAGGAAACAAGAUGACUAAUCAAGGAGACGUGAGCAGAGAAAGGACCAUCUGGACUACACCACAUUCUGUCCUAAAUGUGAUCCCUUUUUACAUCUGGACAUUAUGAAAAUAUCUCUCAAAGUAUUAUAUUUCACACGUGGGGCCAACAACAGGUCUCCUUGAGCUGUUUAUGCUAAAUAUGGAAAAGAAAAAUAUUAGAUCCUCUCACUUGCCAUUUCCUGACACUUUGAGGAGAAAGAUGUGUUUGGAUUGUGUUGGUUGUGAAAUAAGAUGAUGGGAUAUUAAGAUUUCAAAAGUUUAGGGGCAGGGAGAAAGAAUCCCUAUAUUGCACAAUUGUUUGUUAUUGCUCCCCCUCCUCUGGGUGGAAAUUCAAUCUGUAGCUUUUCAGCUUUGGUUGGAUAAAGAUGUAUUUGAUAAUGUAAUAAAUACAGAGUUAGAGUUGCCAAUUUGGGCGACUGAAUUUAGUAAUGGAAGUUGGAAGCCUUUGUAUCCCACAGCUGCUAUCUGGGAUAGACGGCCAGGAUCACAGAAAGGAUCUUUGAAAUUAUCUAGUCCAACUUCUUCAUUUUCAGAUGAAGAAAGUGAUACUUUCAGAGGGAAGUAGCCAAGAACAAGGAGAGCUCCAGAGGAGGAUGCUUCUGAACUGGAGGCCUAUUGCUCUGCAUGAGGAUACCUUCCCUCCAUAUUGACUGGAUCCAAGGAAUGGUUAAAGUUUAUAGAAUCUGAGACAUAUGAGACUAGAAAGACUCCUGAGAGAUUGACUACUUCUCCCUCCCUCCGAGCCCUCCAUCUCUAUGCAGCAAUGCAGACUCAAGAAGAAUUGGCUGACCUAUUCUUUAAAAAAAAAAAUUCCAGGACUGCCUGGAAAAAUACCAGAUGUCCCAAAAGUCUCAGUGCAAUUAUGAAGCUUAAAACAGCACUGAGACUUUUGGGACACCCUGUGUCAUUUUACAUCCUGAAUCUAUUACUUCUCUAUCACCAGCAUAUUUCAGCAUAACUUCUCUGAACUUAGGUCAUUGCUUUGGGUCUGAAGUAUUCUUCAGAUAAAAACAUAAUUAUUUGGCUCUUUCAAUAUAAAAAAAAAUUAAGUUUCUGAAGGAGCAUUUGCCUUGUAGCAGAUGUGGAAGCAUUCCUUUUCCAAGGAGGGAGGGAAAUCUAUUCAUUCUCUCUUUCACACCUUUGACCAUGUCAUUUGUCUAAUGAACUGUUCUGCUCAUGUUAUUCCUCAUCUUACGGUAUCUAUUUGCCUCAAAAUAUUUCACAGGUUCACAGUCCACCAAAUAAAGUAUAUCUUUCUGAUCCUGGCAUUCCAGGCCUUCCACAAUCUGAUUUUCCUUUCCCAUUCUCAUUUCUCAUUUUAAGAUUCAAUUUAGGUGUCACCUCCUACCUGAAGCCUUCCCAGACUCCACCAAGUGAAAAUUGUUUCUCAUUCUUUUAAUUUUGCAUCAUCCUUUCUAUAGACUUCUCUUCCACACUUAUUUUUGUCUCCAUUAUAUCAGUGCUAUAUGUAAACAUAUAUUUCUUUUCUUUCUUUCUCCCCCCCCCCCUGCUCCCAAUCAUAUUUGCACAGCUAGAAAAUACUGGAGGCAGAAUUUGAAUUUAGGAAGAUGAGUCUUCCUGAUUCCAGGUCCUGCCCUCUAUCUGAAGUGCCCAGGCGAGAGAAAAACAGGGCAGCCAAAAUAAUGAAGUUUUAAGAGCGUUUAUUGCUAGCUAGUGACUGAACCCCAACACCAACACUGGAGGGGUCAGUAAUGAGUGGCCUCAGGGCCAUAUAUUUAUAGAAAGAAGAGAGACACAUCAAAAUGUUUCUUGAUACAUUUGUCAUAAUAAAGGAAUUUCUAUUCUAAACAGGAGGCAAAAAGUUAUCACUCUAAGGGGGUCAUUCUCAGGCAACAGCAAGCAGCAUUUCUUUAAGCUUAUCAGGUUGUCAAGAUCUCAAGACUCUCAGGACAGUACAUUUGGGUUGUUAAAAAGAACUAGUAUAAACUUCUAACUACAAAGAUUUAGGAUUAUGUGCUUUUCCACUUCAUAUCCACUGUGCAAUCUAGAUGCCCAUUUCUACUAAUUAAUAAAUACUUAUUGAAUUGAAGUGAACUUAGAAGUGACUUGGAUCGUUGUAUUCUCUAGCCUGGUUGAACAGGUGAUCUCAUCUUGCUGGAUUCUCUUUUCCUAUUGCUUCCCAUUUCUUUUCCCUCUUUUGACUCAUUAACCAAAGCUAGAAAGCAUUAACAUCUAAGACUCAUUAGCCAGCAUUGACUGGUUUAUCUCAGGAGACCCUGCCUCCCAUGCCUGAUUUUUUUCUGGGUACUUACAGCCCAUAUAAAAUAGACAUUAGACAUUUCCCCUUGACUAUUUAUAACAGUGUGAAAAACAUCAUCGGGAUGGAAUAUGCUAAUGCUUCGUGCCCAGCAUGAUAAAAAUCUACCGUGCUGUGUAGGAAAAUGAAGUGCUUCCGACAGAGCAGGACUGCCCUUCCCAGACUCCCAGAGCAUGAGGGAAGGAGGGCUCAGAGAAUCAUAGUAUGGAAAGUAUGACAGAAGUCAUCUACUCCUCCUUUUAUAGAUGAAGAAACUGAGCUUUGAAGAUUAUAGAUUAUAGUUAUAGAUAGGAAGUGACAGAGCUAGGAUUCUAGUCUAGGUCCUCUGAUUACAAAUCUCAGAUUCUUUAAACUGAUCCUGCCUCUAGCCAAGAAAGCCCUUUGCCCUCAUUAGAAAAACAGUAUCUGUUCAUUUCUCAAAAGUCUCCAGAAAAGGAAAUUCCAAAACCUCUCUUGAUUACAUAGUCUAGUCUUUUAAAAUUUCUUGCAACUAUUGAUUGCACACUUAUAAUCUAUAUAAAAUUGCCUUCUCAAAGAGUGAGGAGGAGAAGCCAGAAAGGAGAAAAUUUGGAUCUCAAAAUUAAAAAAAAAUAACAAGUUUUAAAUAAUUAUUUUAAAAAUAAAAGAUUAAAAAUUAAGAAAAUGUUGUCCACUUGGUAUAUUCAGUUUCUCUGUAUUUAACCUAAAUCUUUACUGCUGUAUAUUUAUAUAAUGCUUUUACUUAUAUGUGCUGCCCCAGUGUUUCCUUUCUUCUUUUAAUAGCUCAGUGAAAUAGGUAUUUAACAUGUAAUUAGUCUUAUUUUGCAGAUAAAGAAAUCAACAAAGGGAAGUGAGUGAUUUUACCAAUUUACACAGCCAGGAAAUUGGGAGAGCUGGGACCCAAAUCCGGGGCCACAUACAGACACAGACACAUACACCCACACUGGUCUGGAUCAAAAACUCUCUGUAACUCAGUUUUAAAUAGUCCUUCUUUACCUUGGUACCUUCCAUCUUUAGAUUACCUUUAAUCUCCCCUAUGUACAUAGCUCAUUUGCAUGUUGUCUCCCUCCAGGGACUGGUUUUUUUGGGUGUUUUGGGGGGUUCUUUUUUAUUUCAAAAUACAGUCCUUGACAUGCAGUGGUGCUAAUAAAUGCUAGAUGGCUUACAAAGGAUAAUGAGAAAUUGAGUGACUAGUCUGUGAUUUGUCAUUCAAUUAUAUUUGUGAGCCCCUCUGGGGUUUUCUUAGCAAAGAUAUUUGAGUGGUUUGCUAUUUCCUUCUCCGGAUUAUUUUACAGGUGAAGACACUGAGUGCCUUUCCCAGAGUCACACAGCGAAGUUUUAUUACAUGUUAAAAAGAAUUUAACUCCUGAGUAAGAUGGGAUUUCAUUGUGGUAAAAGAGCACAGAACAGGGAAUCCAGCCAGAAACUUCAAUCAAUCAAUCAAUUAUGAGCUUCAUCACUCCAAUAUAUCAGACAAGAACCUCUCAGAGCCUUGCUGCCAGCCAUCUAUUAGGGGUGGGAAGUCUGUGAAUGUAGCAGAACUGUGGCUUUGUUCUGGCAAGCCAAGAUUGCUGCUCUCUGUGGUUCCAGAAAGAUGAAAUUUCUUUUCUUUCUCAGUCCUUUUUUUAUCUCAGAAUUUCACAGCCCUAUAGUAUAACCACAAACAGACAAAGGGAAAGAAAUCCUGAAGCCUUUCAAAAGAAUGGGGGGAUAGCUAAUGUGAAUCCAUUGUCAUUCAGGAGUAAACAGGGAUCUGGUGGGGGAAUGACAUUUAUAUAACUUUUGGGUUUGCAAAGUACUUUAAAUUUAUUUAAUUCUCAUAACACCUCAUGAAUUAAAUAUCAGAGCUAUUAAAAUUUUCAUUUUACAGAUAAGUAAACUGAGAAUCAGGGAAGUUGAGGCGUAUAUGAGAUCAGUUAAUAAAUGUCCAAAGUGGCAUUUGAAUUCAGAUCCUCUGGCUCCAAAGUCAAUGAUUUUUACUCUUUAUGUUGUUGAUAUUCAGUUGUGUUUGACACUUUUUGUGAUGCUGGUUUAUGUACUAUUCGCAGGGUUUUCUUAUCAAAGAUUCUGAUGUUUUGCCAUUUCCUUUUCUAGUGGAUUGUAAAGCAAAUAGAGAUUAAGUGAUUUGUCCAGGACAUGGCUAGUUCAAUUUUGAACUCAUCUCUUCCUGUCUCCAAAUCUAUCACUCUGUGCACUGAGUCACUUAGCUUCCUCUUUUCCCUGUACAGCUGAUCCUUUUCAUGAAUAAACAAGCGUGUUGUAGUAGAAUGAACACUGACCCUAGAGUUGGAGAAAAGGCACUUAAUCUUUCUAACUCCAAGUUCCUCGUUUUUGAAAUAAGGGGACUGGAAUACAUGACUUCUAAGAUACCUUUCACCUUUAAAUCUAUGAGCCACGAGCUUCCUCCCUGGAAAGCACUGUAAAAUUAAUACAAAUUUUAUUAGCAUCUCAAAUAGUGGAAUCUCUUUGGGAAAAGACAGGCUGGUAAAUCGUGGUUCUCUGUCUGCAAGGUUGGGUUAAGGUGAUAUAACUGAGACCUUGGAGUAAGUCUGUGACAUGCUGGAUUAGAAGCCAAAUUCCAUGUUUGUGGCAGCCCUGUUUGUAGUGGCUAGAAGCUGAAAAAUGAAAGGAUGCCCAUCAAUUGGAGAAUAGUUGAGUAAAUUGUGGUAUACGAAUGUUAUGGAAUAUUAUUGUUCUGUAAGAAAUGACCAGCAGGAUGAAUACAGAGAGGACUGGCGAUACUUACACGAACUGAUGCUAAGUGAAGUGAGCAGAACCAGGAGAUCAUUAUAUACCUCAACAACGAUACUGUUUGAGGAUGUAUUCUGAUGGAAGUGGAUCUCUUUGAUAAAGAGAGCUAAUUUAGUUUCAAUUGAUCAAGGAUGGACAGAAGCAGCUACAACCAAAGAAAGAACACUGGGAAAUGAAUAUAAACUGCUUGCAUUUUUGUUUUUCUUUCCGGGUUAUUUAUACCUUCUGAAUCCAAUUCUCCCUGUGCAACAAGAGAACUGUUCGUUUCAGCGCACAUAUAUUGUACCUGGGAUAUACUGUAACCUAUUUAACAUGUAAAGGACUGCUUGCCAUCUCGGGGAAGGGGUGGAGGGAGAGAGGGGAAAAAUCAGAACAGAAAUGAGUGCAAGGGAUAAUGCUGUAAAAAAUGACCCUGGCAUGGGUUCUGUCAAUAAAAAGUUAUUUAAAAAAAAAAAAAAGAAGAA